This 30-nucleotide non-coding RNA is filed under the name Mus musculus (house mouse). Lineage: Eukaryota; Metazoa; Chordata; Mammalia; Rodentia; Muridae. The record is from RNAcentral.
UAUGCUGUCUGUCCUUAUUCCUAAGGCUGG